Molecule: non-coding RNA, 859 nt
Organism: Misgurnus anguillicaudatus (oriental weatherfish)
Lineage: Eukaryota; Metazoa; Chordata; Actinopteri; Cypriniformes; Cobitidae
Source: RefSeq, a predicted model, not a curated record
CCCAAACUUAGACGUCGUAGCCACAGCAAAGUAACAUCCGGUCACCCCACUUGACUUCGGCUCACCCACUCGUCUCUUCUUCCACGAUGGGGCCGCUUUACACGCUGUUACACACUCACGCAAACACUAGUAUUCAAUCUCCAUGUAUAAACAAUGAUGUGAUGGUAAGCCAAUGUACUCACAGUUUUCGUAAUACCGAUCUUCUCUCACUAACUUUCUCUUUCCAGUUUCUCACAGGUGCCCGGAAAUUAUGCCGUUGUUCCGCCCUGGUUUCGUUUCUCCCACGGUCCCUCAAUAUGCGUGGCCUUCGUAUAACAGACAAACUGCUAUUAAUAUGGAUUUGGUCCUAAGAUCAUUCAGCAUCCAACAACUACAGAGACACAGACAACCUUUCUUGCAGCGUACUGUAUGUAAUGUAACAGAGAAAGAUGGAUGUACAGGGGUACAUAAAGAAUGGAGAGGGUGAUGUUCAAUCUCACGAAAUCACAUCAAAUAGAACACGUUGAUCUCUCAUUUGACCUGCACUAGAUCAUCUUCAACACUAUGGCACUUUCUUUCCUCACACACUCAUUAUAUUCUACCUGCAGUUCGAUCUGACACAAAGGCCCACAUCUACAGGAAGGUCAGAGGUCAGGAAGAUGGAUGACAGACUCGUGAGACUGACCCCUAGGGUAACAGACAGCCUGAAUUCAACGCUAGUCUGUUUUAUAGUAUCCUUUUCUGAAUAAAGCGCUCAUGUCACUUGAAUAUGACUAGUAAUAUGUCUACCUGAGAUUACAGUACAGUCUCUUUCAAACAAACACAUUGCCCGCACUUGUAAUGUUUUGUCUUAAUUCAAAAUAUAAUCAAAACAUCACUA